RNAcentral lists this ribosomal RNA (433 nucleotides) under uncultured bacterium. RNAcentral describes it as "partial 16S ribosomal RNA". It matches the Rfam family "Bacterial small subunit ribosomal RNA", at positions 29 to 507 of the family's 1533-position model. The record is from RNAcentral.
AGCGAACGCUGGCGGCAGGCCUAACACAUGCAAGUCGAACGAACUCUUCGGAGUUAGUGGCGGACGGGUGAGUAACACGUGGGAACGUGCCUUUUGGUUCGGAAUAACUCAGGGAAACUUGUGCUAAUACCGAAUGUGCCCUUCGGGGGAAAGAUUUAUCGCCAUUAGAGCGGCCCGCGUCUGAUUAGCUAGUUGGUGAGGUAACGGCUCACCAAGGCGACGAUCAGUAGCUGGUCUGAGAGGAUGACCAGCCACACUGGGACUGAGACACGGCCCAGACUCCUACAGGAGGCAGCAGUGGGGAAUCUUGCGCAAUGGGCGAAAGCCUGACGCAGCCAUGCCGCGUGAAUGAUGAAGGUCUUAGGAUUGUAAAAUUCUUUAACCGGGGACGAUAAUGACGGUACCCGGAGAAGAAGCCCCGGCUAACUUCGUG